UACACACCGCCCGUCACACCAUGGGAGUCAGUUGCUCCAGAAGUCGGUGACCCAACCGCAAGGAGGGAGCCGCCUAAGGAGUGACUGGUAACUGGGGUG
This 99-nucleotide ribosomal RNA is filed under the name uncultured bacterium. Its description in RNAcentral is "partial 16S ribosomal RNA". It matches the Rfam family "Bacterial small subunit ribosomal RNA", at positions 1384 to 1482 of the family's 1533-position model. The record is from RNAcentral.